RNAcentral lists this ribosomal RNA (1545 nucleotides) under uncultured bacterium. Its description in RNAcentral is "partial 16S ribosomal RNA". It matches the Rfam family "Bacterial small subunit ribosomal RNA". The record is from RNAcentral.
AGAGUUUGAUCCUGGCUCAGAUUGAACGCUGGCGGCAUGCCUUACACAUGCAAGUCGAACGGCAGCACGGGGGCAACCCUGGUGGCGAGUGGCGAACGGGUGAGUAAUACAUCGGAACGUGUCCUGGAGUGGGGGAUAGCCCGGCGAAAGCCGGAUUAAUACCGCAUACGCUCUAUGGAGGAAAGCGGGGGAUCUUCGGACCUCGCGCUCAAGGGGCGGCCGAUGGCGGAUUAGCUAGUUGGUGGGGUAAAGGCCUACCAAGGCGACGAUCCGUAGCUGGUCUGAGAGGACGACCAGCCACACUGGGACUGAAACACGGCCCAGACUCCUACGGGGAAGGAGCAGUGGGGAAUUUUGGAAAAUGGGGGGAACCCUUGAUUCAACCAUUGCCGCCGUGGUGUGAAGAAAGGCCUUCCGGUUGGAAAGCCCUUUUUGUUCCGGAAAAGAAAACCUUUGGGCUUAAACCUCUCAGGGGGAUGACCGUUCCCGAAAAAAUAAACACCCGGUAAAUAACGUGGCCACAGCCCCGGGAAUACCUAAGGGUGGGAGCGGUUAUCGGAAUUACUGGGGCGUAAAACGUGCGGCCAGCGGGUUUGCUUAAAAACAAGUGGAAAUUCCCCCCGGGUUAACCCUGGGGAAAUGCGUUUGGUGGACUCGGCCAGCUAUAGUAUUGGCGAAAGAGGGGGUAAAAAUUCCCCCUGGUUGCACUGAAAAUGCCGUAUAGAAGUGUGAGGAAAAACGAUGGCGGAGGGAGGCCUCCUGGGGCGCAUAUUGAGCUCUUGCAAGAAGCGUGGAGACCAACAGGAUUAGAUCCCUGUGAUAGUCCACGCUCAUAACGAUGUCAUUUAGGUUGUGGGGUAUCUCAUCUCCUUUAGUAAGAAAGUUACGGCGUGAGGGUUGACCCGCCUGGGGAGUCCGGUCGCAAGAUUAAACUUCAAAGGAAUUGACGGGGGCCCCCGCCAAGCCGGUGGAUGAAUGUGGAUUAUUUCGGAUGCAACGCGAAAAACUUUACUCUACCCUUGACCAUGGACGGGAUUCUUGUUAAGAGGUGGGAAUUGCUCGAAAGGAGAACCCGUCGCCCCAGGUGUUGCAUGGCUGUUCUUCAGCUUCGUGUCGUGAGGAUGUUGGGUUAAGUCCCCGCACCGAGCGCAACCCUUGUCCUUAGUUGCUACGCAAGAGCACUCUAAGGAGACUGCCGGUGACAAACCGGAGGAAGGUGGGGAUGACGUCAAGUCCUCAUGGCCCUUAUGGGUAGGGCUUCACACGUCAUACAAUGGUCGGAACAGAGGGUCGCCAACCCGCGAGGGGGAGCCAAUCCCAGAAAACCGAUCGUAGUCCGGAUUGCACUCUGCAACUCGAGUGCAUGAAGCUGGAAUCGCUAGUAAUCGCGGAUCAGCAUGCCGCGGUGAAUACGUUCCCGGGUCUUGUACACACCGCCCGUCACACCAUGGGAGUGGGUUUUACCAGAAGUGGCUAGUCUAACCUUCGGGAGGACGGUCACCACGGUAGGAUUCAUGACUGGGGUGAAGUCGUAACAAGGUAACC